UGGGGAAUCUUGCACAAUGGGGGAAACCCUGAUGCAGCGACGCCGCGUGAGCGAUGAAGCCCUUCGGGGUGUAAAGCUCUUUCGGCAGGGACGAUUAUGACGGUACCUGCAGAAGAAGCUGCGGCUAACUACGUGCCAGCAGCCGCGGUAAUACGUAGGCAGCAAGCGUUGUUCGGAAUUACUGGGCGUAAAGAGUGCGUAGGCGGUUGGCUAAGUUUGGUGUGAAAUCUCCCGGCUCAACUGGGAGGGUGCGCCGAAAACUGGCCGGCUAGAGUGUGGGAGAGGAAAGUGGAAUUCCUGGUGUAGCGGUGAAAUGCGUAGAUAUCAGGAGGAACACCGGUGGUGUAGACGGCUUUCUGGACCACUACUGACGCUGAGGCACGAAAGCGUGGGGAGCAAA
RNAcentral lists this ribosomal RNA (400 nucleotides) under uncultured bacterium. RNAcentral's name for it is "bacterial SSU rRNA". It matches the Rfam family "Bacterial small subunit ribosomal RNA", at positions 355 to 772 of the family's 1533-position model. The record is from RNAcentral.